GGGGGGGGGGGGGGGGGGGCGGGGGGGGGGGGGGGGGGGGGGGGAGGGGGUGCGGGGGGUUGGUGCACCAGAACCGGUGAGUGGCGAAGGGGGGGGGAGCGCGUAGGUAACCUGCCUGGUGGCGGGGGAUGACUAUUGGAAACGAUAGCUAAUACCGCCUAGUAUUGAUUAUUGCUGUAUCAUUAAUUGAAAUGUGCGAUGUCAUCACUCCCAGAUGGACCUGCGUUGUGUUCGCUAGAAGGUGAGGUAACGGCUAACCUAGGCGACUAUACCUAUCCGACCUGAGAGGGUGCUCGGCCACCAUGGGACUGAGACCCGGCCCAGACGCCUACGGGAGGCAGCAGUAGGGAAUCUUCGGCAAUGGACGAAAGUCUGACCGAGCAACGCCGCGUGAGUGAAGAAGGUUUUCGGAUCGUAAAGCUCUGUUGUAAGAGAAGAACGGGUGUGAGAGUGGAAAGUUCACACUGUGACGGUAUCUUACCAGAAAGGGACGGCUAACUACGUG
RNAcentral lists this ribosomal RNA (505 nucleotides) under uncultured bacterium. Its description in RNAcentral is "partial 16S ribosomal RNA". The stretch from base 52 to 505 matches the Rfam family "Bacterial small subunit ribosomal RNA", at positions 39 to 507 of the family's 1533-position model. The record is from RNAcentral.